UACGGAGGAUCCGAGCGUUAUCCGGAUUUAUUGGGUUUAAAGGGUGCGUAGGCGGUCAGGUAAGUUAGAGGUGAAAGCUCGAUGCUCAACAUCGAAACUGCCUCUGAUACUGUCUGACUAGAGUGUAGUUGCGGAAGGCGGAAUGUGUGGUGUAGCGGUGAAAUGCUUAGAUAUCAUGAAGAACUCCGAUCGCGAAGGCAAGUGUCCGGGGUGCAACUGACGCUGAGGCUCGAAAGUGCGGGCAUCAAACAGG
This 253-nucleotide ribosomal RNA is filed under the name uncultured Rikenellaceae bacterium. RNAcentral describes it as "partial 16S ribosomal RNA". It matches the Rfam family "Bacterial small subunit ribosomal RNA", at positions 524 to 776 of the family's 1533-position model. Lineage: Bacteria; Pseudomonadati; Bacteroidota; Bacteroidia; Bacteroidales; Rikenellaceae. The record is from RNAcentral.